CCAAGUCGAACGGCAGCACGGGGCAACCUGGUGGCGAGUGGCGAACGGGUGAGUAAUACAUCGGAACGUGCCCAAUCGUGGGGGAUAACGUAGCGAAAGUUACGCUAAUACCGCAUACUAUGUACGGAUGAAAGCGGGGGAUCGCAAGACCUUGCGCUGAUUGAGCGGCCGAUAUCAGAUUAGCUAGUUGGUGAGGUAAAGGCUCACCAAGGCGACGAUCUGUAGCGGGUCUGAGAGGAUGAUCCGCCACACUGGAACUGAGACACGGUCCAGACUCCUACGGGAGGCAGCAGUGGGGAAUUUUGGACAAUGGGGGCAACCCUGAUCCAGCCAUGCCGCGUGAGUGAAGAAGGCCUUCGGGUUGUAAAGCUCUUUCGGCCGGGAAGAAAUCGUAUGGGUUAAUACCCUGUGCGGAUGACGGUACCGGCAUAAGAAGCACCGGCUAACUACGUGCCAGCAGCCGCGGUAAUACGUAGGGUGCGAGCGUUAAUCGGAAUUACUGGGCGUAAAGCGUGCGCAGGCGGUUUUGUAAGACAGGCGUGAAAUCCCCGGGCUCAACCUGGGAACUGCGCUUGUGACUGCAAGGCUAGAGUACGGCAGAGGGGGGUGGAAUUCCACGUGUAGCAGUGAAAUGCGUAGAGAUGUGGAGGAACACCAAUGGCGAAGGCAGCCCCCUGGGUCGAUACUGACGCUCAUGCACGAAAGCGUGGGUAGCAAACAGGAUUAGAUACCCUGGUAGUCCACGCCCUAAACGAUGUCAACUAUGUGUUGGAUGGGUAAAACCAUUUAGUACCGGAGCUAACGCGUGAAGUUGACCGCCUGAGGAGUACGGCCGCAAGGGUUAAAACUCAAAGGAAUUGACGGGGACCCGCACAAGCGGUGGAUGAUGUGGAUUAAUUUCGAU
Molecule: ribosomal RNA, 904 nt
Filed under: uncultured beta proteobacterium
Lineage: Bacteria; Pseudomonadati; Pseudomonadota; Betaproteobacteria
Description: bacterial SSU rRNA
Rfam family: Bacterial small subunit ribosomal RNA
Source: RNAcentral